CCUACGGGAGGCUGCAGUGGGGAAUAUUGGACAAUGGGCGAAAGCCUGAUCCAGCCAUGCCGCGUGUGUGAAGAAGGCCUUCGGGUUGUAAAGCACUUUCAGUGGGGAAGAAAGCCUUGGGGCUAAUACCCUCGAGGAAGGACAUCACCCACAGAAGAAGCACCGGCUAACUCCGUGCCAGCAGCCGCGGUAAUACGGAGGGUGCGGGCGUUAAUCGGAAUUACUGGGCGUAAAGCGCGCGUAGGCGGUCUGAUAAGCCGGUUGUGAAAGCCCCGGGCUCAACCUGGGAACGGCAUCCGGAACUGUCAGGCUAGAGUGCAGGAGAGGAAGGUAGAAUUCCCGGUGUAGCGGUGAAAUGCGUAGAGAUCGGGAGGAAUACCAGUGGCGAAGGCGGCCUUCUGGACUGACACUGACGCUGAGGUGCGAAAGCGUGGGUAGCAAACAGGAUUAGAUACCCUUGUAGUC
RNAcentral lists this ribosomal RNA (465 nucleotides) under Vreelandella stevensii. RNAcentral describes it as "partial 16S ribosomal RNA". It matches the Rfam family "Bacterial small subunit ribosomal RNA", at positions 338 to 795 of the family's 1533-position model. The record is from RNAcentral. Lineage: Bacteria; Pseudomonadati; Pseudomonadota; Gammaproteobacteria; Oceanospirillales; Halomonadaceae.